AUUGAACGUUGGCGGCAGGCCUAACACAUGCGAGUCGAGCGGAUGAAGGGAGCUUGCUCCUGGAUUCAGCGGCGGACGGGUGAGUAAUGCCUAGGAAUCUGCCUGGUAGUGGGGGAUAACGUCCGGAAACGGGCGCUAAUACCGCAUACGUCCUGAGGGAGAAAGUGGGGGAUCUUCGGACCUCACGCUAUCAGAUGAGCCUAGGUCGGAUUAGCUAGUUGGUGGGGUAAAGGCCUACCAAGGCGACGAUCCGUAACUGGUCUGAGAGGAUGAUCAGUCACACUGGAACUGAGACACGGUCCAGACUCCUACGGGAGGCAGCAGUGGGGAAUAUUGGACAAUGGGCGAAAGCCUGAUCCAGCCAUGCCGCGUGUGUGAAGAAGGUCUUCGGAUUGUAAAGCACUUUAAGUUGGGAGGAAGGGCAGUAAGUUAAUACCUUGCUGUUUUGACGUUACCAACAGAAUAAGCACCGGCUAACUUCGUG
Molecule: ribosomal RNA, 484 nt
Filed under: uncultured bacterium
Lineage: Bacteria
Description: partial 16S ribosomal RNA
Rfam family: Bacterial small subunit ribosomal RNA
Source: RNAcentral